AUUUUUGCUUCAGUCUCGGUGAAAGACUAGGCAAGAAAGCAUCAGGAUGCCACGAAAGCGUCAGCAGAAAGUACUAGCUCCUGUCCCAGAGGACGAAGAACUCGUCGAGGAUUCUCCGAAAGAAGACUCCAAAAGCUUGGACGAGAAUGUCAUGCAGCUCAUUGAUGCUCUCGAGCAGCAAGGUUUGCUCAUUGCGUUGUGCACUCCCUCUGCUUUGCAGCAUUCUUUCUAAACGUUCUCUUGUUGUUGAGAAAAAUUCUUUGGUGUGCACAGUCCAGGAGCGUGCAGAGAGCUUGUUGGACGCAGCAGAAGCAGAGUGCAGAGAGAUACUGAACCUGUUUGCUGUCCAGCUUGUUAAGUUGCCC
Molecule: long non-coding RNA, 365 nt
Filed under: Coccomyxa subellipsoidea
Lineage: Eukaryota; Viridiplantae; Chlorophyta; Trebouxiophyceae; Coccomyxaceae
Description: long non-coding RNA (CSUB_LNC000336)
Source: RNAcentral